This 424-nucleotide ribosomal RNA is filed under the name uncultured bacterium. RNAcentral describes it as "bacterial SSU rRNA". It matches the Rfam family "Bacterial small subunit ribosomal RNA", at positions 71 to 471 of the family's 1533-position model. The record is from RNAcentral.
CCGGCCGCCAUGGCGGCCGCGGGAAUUCGAUUAAACGGGUGAGUAACACGUGGGUGACCUGCCUUCGAGUGGGGGAUAACGUCCCGAAAGGGACGCUAAUACCGCAUGACAUCCUGCUUUUUAAGAGGUGGAGAUCAAAGCUGGGGAUCGCAAGACCUAGCGCUUGAAGAGGGGCCCGCGCCUGAUUAGCUAGUUGGUGGGGUAACGGCUCACCAAGGCAACGAUCAGUAUCCGGCCUGAGAGGGCGGACGGACMCACUGGGACUGAGACUCGGCCCAGACUCCUWCGGGAGGCAGCAGUGGGGRAUUGUUCGCAAUGGGCGCAAGCCUGMCGACGCAACGCCGCGUGGAGGAUGAAGWUCUUCGGSUCGUAAACUCCUUUCGAUCGAGACGAACGGCCUCCGGGCUAACACCCUGGAGGAGUG